This 250-nucleotide ribosomal RNA is filed under the name uncultured bacterium. RNAcentral describes it as "partial 16S ribosomal RNA". It matches the Rfam family "Bacterial small subunit ribosomal RNA", at positions 57 to 305 of the family's 1533-position model. The record is from RNAcentral.
GCAAGUCGAGCGGUAACAGAUCUAGCUUGCUAGAUGCUGACGAGCGGCGGACGGGUGAGUAACGCGUAGGAAUCUACCCAGUAGCGGGGGAUAAGCCAGAGAAAUUUGGUCUAAUACCGCAUACGCCCUUCGGGGGAAAGUAGGGGAUCUUCGGACCUCUCGCCAUUUGAUUAGCCCAAGUGAGAUUAGCUAGUUGGUAAGGUAAUGGCUCACCAAGGCGACGAUCCCUAGCUGGUCUGAGAGGAUGAUC